RNAcentral lists this transfer RNA (88 nucleotides) under cyanobiont of Ornithocercus magnificus. RNAcentral describes it as "tRNA-Ser". It matches the Rfam family "tRNA". From Rfam's summary of the family: Transfer RNA (tRNA) molecules are approximately 80 nucleotides in length. Their secondary structure includes four short double-helical elements and three loops (D, anti-codon, and T loops). Further hydrogen bonds mediate the characteristic L-shaped molecular structure. tRNAs have two regions of fundamental functional importance: the anti-codon, which is responsible for specific mRNA codon recognition, and the 3' end, to which the tRNAs corresponding amino acid is attached (by aminoacyl-tRNA synthetases). tRNAs cope with the degeneracy of the genetic code in two manners: having more than one tRNA (with a specific anti-codon) for a particular amino acid; and 'wobble' base-pairing, i.e. permitting non-standard base-pairing at the 3rd anti-codon position. The record is from RNAcentral. Lineage: Bacteria; Bacillati; Cyanobacteriota; Cyanophyceae; Synechococcales.
UGGAGAGGUGGCAGAGUCCGGUUGAUUGCGCACGACUCGAAAUCGUGUAGGGUCACACCCUCGUGGGUUCGAAUCCCACCCUCUCCGU